This 511-nucleotide ribosomal RNA is filed under the name uncultured bacterium. RNAcentral describes it as "bacterial SSU rRNA". It matches the Rfam family "Bacterial small subunit ribosomal RNA", at positions 355 to 883 of the family's 1533-position model. The record is from RNAcentral.
GGGGGAAUAUUGGACAAUGGGCGCAAGCCUGAUCCAGCAAUGCCGCGUGGGUGAAGAAGGUCUUCGGAUUGUAAAGCCCUUUCGGCGGGGACGAUGAUGACGGUACCCGCAGAAGAAGCCCCGGCUAACUUUGUGCCAGCAGCCGCGGUAAUACGAAGGGGGCUAGCGUUGCUCGGAAUUACUGGGCGUAAAGGGCGCGUAGGCGGCGCUGCAAGUCAGGCGUGAAAUUCCUGGGCUCAACCUGGGGGCUGCGCUUGAGACUGUGGGGCUUGAGGGCAGGAGAGGCUCGCGGAAUUCCCAGUGUAGAGGUGAAAUUCGUAGAUAUUGGGAAGAACACCGGUGGCGAAGGCGGCGAGCUGGCCUGUGACUGACGCUGAGGCGCGACAGCGUGGGGAGCAAACAGGAUUAGAUACCCUGGUAGUCCACGCCGUAAACGAUGUGCGCUGGAUGUUGGGCGGCCUAGCCGUUCAGUGUCGUAGCCAACGCGGUAAGCGCACCGCCUGGGGAGUAC